This 88-nucleotide ribosomal RNA is filed under the name Pyrodictium sp. The record is from RNAcentral. Lineage: Archaea; Thermoproteati; Thermoproteota; Thermoprotei; Desulfurococcales; Pyrodictiaceae.
CGACCCGGCCAUAGCGGCCGGGCAACACCCGGUCCCAUUUCGAACCCGGAAGUUAAGCCGGCCGCGUUGGGGGUAGCUGUGGAGUCCG